Molecule: long non-coding RNA, 462 nt
Organism: Notolabrus celidotus (New Zealand spotty)
Lineage: Eukaryota; Metazoa; Chordata; Actinopteri; Labriformes; Labridae
Exons: 3
Source: RefSeq, a predicted model, not a curated record
UCUCUGAGUUUCAUUACACCUUUUAUGUGCUGCCACAUAGCAACUCCAAUACACAUCAUCUCUUCUACAGAGUCGUCGAUCACAAGCGUGCAAGCGAAAGGCAAUAGGGCUUCACGAAUGGACCAAUGAGCAAACAACUGUGUUAAACUCUGCUGUGGUGCCACAACUAGCUGGAACCAAAAGAAGAAUUCAGUAUCACAGCGUUUGAGUAAGCAGAAAUCUUCCACUGUGUGCUUCAUGCUAUAAAAAGGGUCUGGAGCUGGUCCUGCUGCCACAGGGAAUUAGUCACUGAAUCGCUGGAAGUGGAACAUCCUGUUCCCUUUGUCACCAAAAAAUCGGAUGUGUAAUAUCACCGUUCGCUUCACCUGCCUCCUAGAAAGUCGGACGACAGCAGGAGGGCUAUUGUGCGCUGGAAUAGCUCUGUAAAAAGAUUGUUUCAUACAAAGGAGUAACAUUGAAAAC